This is a small nucleolar RNA of Pomacea canaliculata, 73 nucleotides long. The record is from RefSeq and is a predicted model, not a curated record. Lineage: Eukaryota; Metazoa; Mollusca; Gastropoda; Architaenioglossa; Ampullariidae.
CCCAUGUGAUGAAAUGCCUUUUGCCUGACAUUUGUGAGGGCAAAAUGUUUGACUGAUUUAAUGAGGCUGAUGG